GAAAACUAAGCCGAAGGAUGACA
This 23-nucleotide non-coding RNA is filed under the name Arabidopsis thaliana (thale cress). The record is from RNAcentral. Lineage: Eukaryota; Viridiplantae; Streptophyta; Magnoliopsida; Brassicales; Brassicaceae.